Molecule: unclassified non-coding RNA, 262 nt
Filed under: fungal sp.
Lineage: Eukaryota; Fungi
Description: partial internal transcribed spacer region
Rfam family: Eukaryotic small subunit ribosomal RNA (bases 1-46)
Source: RNAcentral
AAGUCGUAACAAGGUUUCCGUAGGUGAACCUGCGGAAGGAUCAUUAAAGAGUAAUUGGGUCUCUAUGGCUCAUAACUCCCACCCUUUUGUGUUCUUUAAAAUAAAAAUUAAGUUGCCUUGGUAGGAAUAAGCCUAAGACUCUUUAACCAGAGGAAGAGGUGAGCCUACCAUUGGAACUAUUUUAAACUCUUAUCAAUUGAGUCGUCUGAGAAAAUGAAAUUCAAAUGAAUUAAAACUUUCAACAACGGAUCUCUUGGUUCUG